Molecule: long non-coding RNA, 159 nt
Organism: Oxyura jamaicensis (ruddy duck)
Lineage: Eukaryota; Metazoa; Chordata; Aves; Anseriformes; Anatidae
Exons: 3
Source: RefSeq, a predicted model, not a curated record
UAAUAUAAAGACCUAUUUUUCUAAGCAAGCCUAAGAACAGGCCAUAUGUAUUUACCCACAUAAAUAGUUUGAACCGUUAUCAAUUUGGAAUUCUGUCUUUUGGACUGAGCAGUUAGAUUCAUAAGUUGUUAUUGCUAAAUAUGCUCUUUCCCAAACAAU